AACGCGAAGAACCUUACCAGGUCUUGACAUCCCGAUGACCGCUUCAGAGAUGGAGCUUCUCUUCGGAGCAUUGGAGACAGGUGGUGCAUGGUUGUCGUCAGCUCGUGUCGUGAGAUGUUGGGUUAAGUCCCGCAACGAGCGCAACCCUUGAUCUUAGUUGCCAGCACUUCGGGUGGGCCCUCUAAGAUGACUGCCGGUGACAAACCGGAGGAAGGUGGGGAUGACGUCAAAUCAUCAUGCCCCUUAUGACCUGGGCUACACACGUACUACAAUGGUCGGUACAACGGGCAGCGAAGGAGCGAUCUGGAGCAAAUCCUUAAAAGCCGAUCUCAGUUCGGAUUGCAGGCUGCAACUCGCCUGCAUGAAGUCGGAAUUGCUAGUAAUCGCGGAUCAGCAUGCCGCGGUGAAUACGUUCCCGGGUCUUGUACACACCG
RNAcentral lists this ribosomal RNA (434 nucleotides) under uncultured bacterium. RNAcentral describes it as "bacterial SSU rRNA". It matches the Rfam family "Bacterial small subunit ribosomal RNA", at positions 958 to 1392 of the family's 1533-position model. The record is from RNAcentral.